Molecule: ribosomal RNA, 847 nt
Filed under: Natrialba magadii
Lineage: Archaea; Methanobacteriati; Methanobacteriota; Halobacteria; Halobacteriales; Natrialbaceae
Description: bacterial SSU rRNA
Rfam family: Archaeal small subunit ribosomal RNA
Source: RNAcentral
AUGCUAGUUGUACGAGUUUAGACUCGUAGCAGAUAGCUCAGUAACACGUGGCCAAACUACCCUAUGGAUCCAGACAACCUCGGGAAACUGAGGCUAAUCUGGAAUACGACUCUCAUCCUGGAGUGGAGAGAGUCCGAAAUGCUCCGGCGCCAUAGGAUGUGGCUGCGGCCGAUUAGGUAGACGGUGGGGUAACGGCCCACCGUGCCAGUAAUCGGUACGGGUUGUGAGAGCAAGAGCCCGGAGACGGUAUCUGAGACAAGAUACCGGGCCCUACGGGGCGCAGCAGGCGCGAAACCUUUACACUGCACGCCAGUGCGAUAAGGGGACUCCAAGUGCGAGGGCAUAUAGUCCUCGCUUUUUGCGACCGUAAGGUGGUCGCGGAAUAAGUGCUGGGCAAGACCGGUGCCAGCCGCCGCGGUAAUACCGGCAGCACGAGUGAUGACCGCUGUUAUUGGGCCUAAAGCGUCCGUAGCUGGCCGCGCAAGUCUAUCGGGAAAUCUCUCCGCUUAACGGAGAGGCGUCCGGUGGAAACUGUGUGGCUUGGGACCGGAAGACCAGAGGGGUACGUCUGGGGUAGGAGUGAAAUCCCGUAAUCCUGGACGGACCACCGGUGGCGAAAGCGCCUCUGGAAGACGGAUCCGACGGUGAGGGACGAAAGCUCGGGUCACGAACCGGAUUAGAUACCCGGGUAGUCCGAGCUGUAAACGAUGUCUGCUAGGUGUGACACAGGCUACGAGCCUGUGUUGUGCCGUAGGGAAGCCGUGAAGCAGACCGCCUGGGAAGUACGUCCGCAAGGAUGAAACUUAAAGGAAUUGGCGGGGGAGCACUACAACCGGAGGAGCCUGCG